UGAGGAAUAUUGGUCAAUGGGCGAGAGCCUGAACCAGCCACGUCGCGUGAAGGAAGACUGACCUUACGGUUUGUAAACUUCUUUUGUAGAGGGGUAAUGGCAGAUACGUGUAUUUGCGUGAAAGUACUCUACGAAUAAGCAUCGGCUAACUCCGUGCCAGCAGCCGCGGUAAUACGGGGGAUGCGAGCGUUAUCCGGAAUUAUUGGGUUUAAAGGGUGCGCAGGUGGCUAAUCAGGUCAGUGGUGAAAAGCUAUGGCUCAACCAUGGUCUUGCCAUUGAAACCGUAUAGCUGGAGAGGAGACGAGGUAGGCGGAAUGUGUGGUGUAGCGGUGAAAUGCAUAGAUAUCACACAGAACUCCGAUUGCGAAGGCAGCUUACCAGGCUUUAUCUGACACUUAGGCACGACAGCGUGGGGAUCAAACAGG
RNAcentral lists this ribosomal RNA (425 nucleotides) under Verrucomicrobiota bacterium. RNAcentral's name for it is "Verrucomicrobia bacterium partial 16S ribosomal RNA". It matches the Rfam family "Bacterial small subunit ribosomal RNA", at positions 355 to 776 of the family's 1533-position model. The record is from RNAcentral. Lineage: Bacteria; Pseudomonadati; Verrucomicrobiota.